GAAGGCUGGCUCUCAACAUGACCUAGGUUAUUGGGUUAUCCCCAAGAACAGAACUUGAGUUGCCCUUGGCUGUUCAGUGUGGGGCCAAAAGGGCAGAUUCAAAGAUACUGUACUAGGAAGUAGUUAAAAGCCAGAAGGAAAAAAGAAUGGGAGUAAUAUCAACAAGAUUGAGGCUGAGAUGUUCCAGACAAGAGAGGGUUUGAAACAGAGGGAGGGUAGGAAAUGAAACCCGGAGCAAGUCCUGUACCAAAACAGGGGACUUACAGACUUGCAAUAGUGGUUGCUGCAAGUCUCUGAGGACUCCUGGUCCCUGGACAGGGGCAGGGAGGGAGCAUAACGAGGACAAUGAUCCAGAGAGCACCUCUGGGGGCAGAAGAAAGCACUGGGAAUUCUUAGACCAGGCAACCUUAGGGCCCAAAGGAUUUGAGAAAAUCAAUGCCCACAUCUGCAAAGUUACCGAAGCCCUCACUUUUGCUCCAGCUUACAGGUGAGCUAGUUCACUGUGCCCUUCCAUAGCCCUUCUCAGACCCCUCCCAUGGCAUUUUUCAGGAGGCCUUAGAAUGUAUUUGGGGAAGCACUGGUGCUGGCCCUCCGCUAGACCCUGAGUCUGGGUCUUAAGGAUGUAGAUACUAAAUCUAAUCAGCAAAUUCAUUCCUAUUGCAGUUCCCAGAAAGAACAUAGAAACUUUUCUAUUUCAAGUUGCAUCAACUAAAUCUAUGACUGUUAAACUCAUUUUUAAGUCAAUCAAAGAUCCUUUUUCAUGUAUCUGCAUGGAAUGAAUGGAACUGACCUGGAUAAUUGUUAGCUUGAUGCAGGUAAAUGUGUGUGCACAAAUACAUUUGUUUAUUGGAUUGGUCCAAUGUGGAAUCACUCCAUGGACGACCAUCAUUUGAGCAUCUAUUGUGGUCCAGAUACCAUGUGGGGUGCUUGACACACACUCUCUUUAAUCACUGCAAGAUUUUCAAGGUAAUUUGAUAAGCUAAGAGUUGCUCUUGGUUCUACCUGACUUGAUACUGGUGUGCAGUUUAUUAUGGCAAAUAAC
This 1042-nucleotide long non-coding RNA is filed under the name Marmota monax (woodchuck). The record is from RNAcentral. Lineage: Eukaryota; Metazoa; Chordata; Mammalia; Rodentia; Sciuridae.